This 24-nucleotide non-coding RNA is filed under the name Cricetulus griseus (Chinese hamster). The record is from RNAcentral. Lineage: Eukaryota; Metazoa; Chordata; Mammalia; Rodentia; Cricetidae.
UUAAAAGAUGCUUUGAAUAAAAUU